GUGGGGAGACUGCAGACAGAUUCCAGCACCUCCUUCCUAUAUACUGUCAGGAGUUUUCGAAAGAGAUGUCUUAUUCUGAGAGGAUUCGGAAAGCUCAACAAUUCUCAUAUGGUUGGGAUCUUAAAACAGUGAAAUUUUGGUCCCGCUAUGUGAAGAGUGACAUGUCAGACAACAGAAAUUGAAGAGGCUAUAGCAAAUCUCGUCUACAAAUCUCAACUUUGCUCUUGUUGCUUUGUGAUACAGGAUAUGAAUCUGGAUGCAGCCUGCAGGUCUUCACUGUGAGAUGGUUGAAGGGCAUGACAUGAGCUGCCGUGCCUGACAUCACAUUCAAAUAUCCAGUGGCUAUUUCUGCAUCAUGAGACAAAAGGAGAUGUUAAUCCAUUUAGAAUAAAUGAAGAAGAAAGUUAUUUCAAACAAAUAUUUUAUGAAGUGAUCUGCAUACUGUAUAUUCCCUAACUUCAAAACUGGUUAAAAUAAAACAUAUGGAUAUAUCCUCACGUUUCCAAUGUUUAUAUUUGAGAUGUUCAAGAACACUGAUCCCAUUCGUAACCAGACCUUUGUGAAGGCUAAUCGUUUCAGUCUCUGUUACUUCUGCUGAAAGCCUACUUAACGCAUUCAUCUCUCCAUGGAAAUAACUGGAUUGCUCUAAUCUCUAGUGCCAUUUACAUCUACCCAACUUACACUUCUGAACAUUCGAAACACUAAUGGGCAAUCGGUAUAUUGUAUAAAGUUAAUCUAUCCAUUCCUUCUGAAGAGAAUUCCUUUUGAUACUGAUUGAUUUCUUUUUGAUUAGAAGCCAAGUAUUUCAGAGAAAAGCAUGGUAUUUUGAUUUUGUGAGAGCAAGCAUGACUACAGGGAAGGCAUUUAGAUUUUUGUUCAAAAAUGUCAAAAGUGUAUGACCAUAUUGCUACAUGUUUUAACCAUAUCUGGAGUUUAUUGUUUCUAAAUUCCAUGACAAUAUAGUAAGAUUUGACUAUCUUAGUUGAAACAACCAUCUAUUGCUAGGCAUAAAACAUCUGUUUCAUUAACCAGACUGCACACAGAUUUCUUUUGCCUGGAUACUGCAGAGAAAUGUAUUAAAUAUACAUUCUAAAAAAAUCACAGUGGAGAGCUGUAAGGACAACUGCCAGGCAGGCUGCAGUUGCAGAUCGCCAGAUGUAUUUCACCUUAUUGAUUCUUUACCAGCUUUGUUUUCAGGUGUCUUUUUCUAUGAUCAAGUUCACCUUGUAAAAUGACCUAUUCACCUUACUACAAUGUUUG
This is a long non-coding RNA of Hypanus sabinus (Atlantic stingray), 1260 nucleotides long. RefSeq lists it as uncharacterized. The record is from RefSeq and is a predicted model, not a curated record. Lineage: Eukaryota; Metazoa; Chordata; Chondrichthyes; Myliobatiformes; Dasyatidae. The transcript has 4 exons.